Molecule: ribosomal RNA, 483 nt
Filed under: uncultured bacterium
Lineage: Bacteria
Description: partial 16S ribosomal RNA
Rfam family: Bacterial small subunit ribosomal RNA
Source: RNAcentral
UUGAACGCUGGCGGCAGGCCUAACACCUGCAAGUCGAGCGGAUGAAGGGAGCUUGCUCCUGGAUUCAGCGGCGGACGGGUGAGUAAUGCCUAGGAAUCUGCCUGGUAGUGGGGGAUAACGUCCGGAAACGGGCGCUAAUACCGCAUACGUCCUGAGGGAGAAAGUGGGGGAUCCUCGGACCUCACGCUAUCAGAUGAGCCUAGGUCGGAUUAGCUAGUUGGUGGGGUAAAGGCCUACCAAGGCGACGAUCCGUAACUGGUCUGAGAGGAUGAUCAGUCACACUGGAACUGAGACACGGUCCAGACUCCUACGGGAGGCAGCAGUGGGGAAUAUUGGACAAUGGGCGAAAGCCUGAUCCAGCCAUGCCGCGUGUGUGAAGAAGGUCUUCGGAUUGUAAAGCACUUUAAGUUGGGAGGAAGGGCAGUAAGUUAAUACCUUGCUGUUUUGACGUUACCAACAGAAUAAGCACCGGCUAACUUCGUG